UUGGUGAAUGCAAGGAUAUACAGUGCUGCAAAUAUGCAUUUUUUGGCUGGAAUCGGGAUAAAAGGGCACCUUUUUGUCCCAUGUUUUUGGCCAUUGUAAUGAUUCAGUGUGCAUUUAGCAGUAACGUUAUGUAGCCACCCCCCUUUUAAACUCAGGAAAUCCCGUGUUUAAGUGCUGUGUAAUUAGGCUCUCAAGGAACCAGAACACACAAGUAAUUGUUAUGUGAUGCUCAGGAGAAAAUGUGGAGGGAGAAAAUAAAAUGAAAUCCAAAAAUAUAAACCACAUGUGUACAGAAUGGAAAGAGAAAUGCACUAUUCAAGUGCUUUUGUCAUACUAUCUACACCCAGUCCCUCCUUGGAGAUGGAUGAAGGACAACACGGAGUUACGGUUUUCCCCUCAAAUAUAUAUUUAUAUUAAUAUGUGGCUGAGCAGAAGCAUUUCUAUAAAGAAAGUUGAAAGUUUGAAAGUUGCAGUCUAAAAUCAUUAAAGUAGAACUAUUGAACUAAUUGUAUAGCUAUGAGAAUAUAUAAGGAAGUCAAUCUGAUUAAAUGAAUCUACUUUAAUCAGGACUAAAAUAG
Long non-coding RNA from Anolis carolinensis (green anole), 578 nucleotides. RefSeq lists it as uncharacterized. The record is from RefSeq and is a predicted model, not a curated record. Lineage: Eukaryota; Metazoa; Chordata; Lepidosauria; Squamata; Anolidae. The transcript is spliced from 3 exons.